This 497-nucleotide ribosomal RNA is filed under the name uncultured bacterium. RNAcentral describes it as "partial 16S ribosomal RNA". It matches the Rfam family "Bacterial small subunit ribosomal RNA", at positions 28 to 507 of the family's 1533-position model. The record is from RNAcentral.
GAUGAACGCUGGCGGCGUGCCUAAUACAUGCAAGUCGAGCGAACAGACGAGGAGCUUGCUCCUCUGACGUUAGCGGCGGACGGGUGAGUAACACGUGGAUAACCUACCUAUAAGACUGGGAUAACUUCGGGAAACCGGAGCUAAUACCGGAUAAUCUAUUGAACCGCAUGGUUCAAUAGUGAAAGACGGUUUUGCUGUCACUUAUAGAUGGAUCCGCGCCGCAUUAGCUAGUUGGUAAGGUAACGGCUUACCAAGGCAACGAUGCGUAGCCGACCUGAGAGGGUGAUAGGCCACACUGGAACUGAGACACGGUCCAGACUCCUACGGGAGGCAGCAGUAGGGAAUCUUCCGCAAUGGGCGAAAGCCUGACGGAGCAACGCCGCGUGAGUGAUGAAGGUCUUCGGAUCGUAAAACUCUGUUAUUAGGGAAGAACAAAUGUGUAAGUAACUAUGCACGUCUUGACGGUACCUAAUCAGAAAGCCACGGCUAACUACGCG